AAGUCGUAACAAGGUUUCCGUAGGUGAACCUGCGGAAGGAUCAUUAACACGUGGUUAUCCAUGUUCAACCCUUCGUGCUUGGUGCGUUUGGCCUCAAAUCUAUUGUGAAUGGAGAUUUUGUUAGGAUGAACUUGGUUUCCAAGGGAAUGGCUUGUGUAACAGUUGAAGUUGCGAAGUACAAGUAAUUUCGACAGUGAGAAGCUUUCCAUCCUAUUGCAGUUUCCAUUUAUAGACUCAAUUGAUUCAAAAAAACCCCGUAGUUAACUUAUUUCUAACUGAAAACUUAAUUGCUCUUUCUGACUUAACGGUUUGAAAUCAAUUAUUUUACGAAACAUUUGACAACUCUUAACAACGGAUAUCUUGGUUCUC
This 369-nucleotide unclassified non-coding RNA is filed under the name fungal sp. RNAcentral's name for it is "partial internal transcribed spacer region". The stretch from base 1 to 46 matches the Rfam family "Eukaryotic small subunit ribosomal RNA", at positions 1786 to 1831 of the family's 1831-position model. Lineage: Eukaryota; Fungi. The record is from RNAcentral.